CGGAACUGAACCCUAGGUAGAGGUGAACCACCAAAAGGCUGGGAGCAGGAAGGGAGGGAAGGGGGCUCCCUGCUUUAGAAUGGAAACCCCUGGAGGGCAGGGACCGAACCCCCCCCCCCCAACCCGGCCGACAGAAGGAGGCGCUUAUUGAGCACUGGCCCACUGACCCGACCAUGGGGGCGCCCAGGCCGGAGGGGGGGGUCUGUCUGAACAGACAUUGGGGACCACCCAGUCAGCGCCUCGGGAGACCUUCCCUUGGGCCUGUUCCCUGGUCUGUAAAAUGACGGGAUUGGCCCCGAUGACCACUGUGACCUCGGUGUCCUCCUCUGUAAAGUGAGGGCCUCUCCAGCCCCCUCCGGCUCUGCAGCCAUGAGUAGCCAAGGUGUGCUCAAGGAUCCGCUUUAAUCCUUACAACACAGAACCUGUAUGGAGAGCAGAAAGUCCUCCCUCUGAUGGGGGGCCAAGAUGGGAAAUCGUUGGUCAGCCAUGGAGGGCCAAGCAAGAGAAGGACCGAAGACGUGGUGUAGAAAGGAGGGUUGGGGGAGAGAAGCAGAGACCAAGCUCCUUCAGAAUGGAUACCUGUUGCCUGGGAAGCUCUGCCCCCGGACUAAGCCAAUCUUGAGAGGGGAGAGACUGAGGAAAAUUGGUUUGGUCGCCUCCAGGAGGCAGAUUUGGGCCACAGUUCCUCGUUCCACUAGCAGGAUCAGGAUCUUCAGAUGGUCCCACUCAUCCCAUCCAUUCACUCUGACACACCCCAACCUGCACAAGCUUUUCAUCCCGGCCCAGGAGCUCCUCCCUUUGUCUUCUGUGUCUUUCCCUGAAGGACCGCCAGGGAGCUUGAGCAGAGAGCAGGACCAGCACAGGUUUGCUCAAGGGAUGGUUUGUGAGCCCUCGGAAAGAGAAGCUGUGAUGCUGGCAUCGUCAAGAGCUCACUAAGACGAGCCUGUCCUCAUUUCCUUUCUGGAUGAUAGACUAAGAGGAAGUUAUGGAAUUUGAAAGUUAAAAGGGCCCUGGGUGAUCCUCUGAUCAAAUCCAUACACCAGAGACAUCCUCACUAUAAUAAGUGCUCCUCCAGCCCCUGCUUGAAGAGUCCCAAAGAGAGGGAACUCACCCGAGGCAGCACAUUCUACGUUCAGACAGUGACAUCAAGCCUAGAUUGGCCUUCUUGCCACUUGAAGACUGCCCAGACCCUCCCUCCAGUGGCUCUGGAUUCUGCCCUCAGAGGUCAUGCAGAACAAGCCUGAUCCUUUUCCACCUAAGAACCCUGCAAACAGGGAUCCCCAGGCUAAAAAGCCCCAUUUCCCUCAACUGACUUUUAAAUGGAGGGGACUCAAGACCUUUCACCAUCUUGGUCUCCCUCUCCAGAAAGCUCUUGAUCUAUCACCAUCCUUAAACUGACUGGCCCAGGCCUGAGCACAAUACUGCAGAUGGGAUCUGACCAGGACAGAGUGCACUAGGCUUGUUACCACCUUGUGCCUCACUCUCUCCUUCAGAGUCAUGGGAGCCCAAAAGGCAAGACAUAAAUCGGGAAGACGGUGAUGGCCCCAGAGCAGUGGGAGACCUUGGCCUUUUGAAGCUAGCCUUUUCCUAGGUCUCAGUUUGUCUGAGGCAACACCCAUUCUGUGGUUAAAGGCUAGGUAAGAAUUGAGGUACUUUGCCUUCACAAAAGAAUCAGUCAGGUAGGGGAAGACUCUCAGAGUUUCCAGCAAGAACUGAAAUAAUUGCUAGUUACACAUAUUCUGAGCUAUCAAAACCCAAACAAUGAGCAAGUGAGGCCUGGGCUGGGCCCUAUUAUUGGCCAAUCAGUGACAGCCAGAGUGAUUUGGGUUUAAAGGCAUAGUCCUUAGAACCUGUCUGUUUUCUUUUUCCUGUGUAAAUAAUCAAUUCAACAUGUUAACCUCAAAGCUGAUUUCUUUGACUGUGUUUCCUUCUGGGC
Long non-coding RNA from Phascolarctos cinereus (koala), 1936 nucleotides. Lineage: Eukaryota; Metazoa; Chordata; Mammalia; Diprotodontia; Phascolarctidae. The record is from Ensembl.